Molecule: unclassified non-coding RNA, 1078 nt
Filed under: Hevea brasiliensis (rubber tree)
Lineage: Eukaryota; Viridiplantae; Streptophyta; Magnoliopsida; Malpighiales; Euphorbiaceae
Source: RNAcentral
CUGGGUAUGAAGUUGAAACGAAGCAAUCCAUUAUCUGAAAUUCAACUAAGAAACUAAAAGAGAAGAGAAUGGAAGAGCAUAUGCUGGAGUUUCUUCAAUGGAGGCCUUGAGUGCUUCAAUGAUCCUUGCUUUCUCCCUUGAAUCACCUUGGAGGAUAGGGUUUUUAUGAAUCUUCAGUGAUCUCCCUUAUUUUUGGUGAAACAAACCUUAUAAACCUGUUUUAGGGCGUCCUUCUUUGACUAGGAAAUGAUUCUCUCCCCAAAACCCCACUUAAAACAUGAAUAAGGCAGGUUGUCUGGCACUGGCACACCUUGGGCAUGCAUUUACCUUGCUUACACGCCUGGGCAUGUACUUCUCAGGUUGAUCUCAGGCUGCUUGGUUUCUUGUUCUGCAUGCCCUGAGUGUGCACUCCAUGAAUCUACACGCCCUAGGCAUGUACUUUUCUGCUCGGAAUGCCACUUGACUCCUUGAAUUUUUCCAAUUAAGCCCUUUGUGCCUCAAUUCAAAUGGACUUUUAUUCCAAAGGACUUUUAGACUUAAAUUUCUAUUUCAAUUCACCAAGAAUAAGAUCAAAUCACAAUAAUAACUAUUAAAAUAAAAAAUAAAUAAAAAAGCACUAAAACUAAUGAAUUCAUACAUAACAACCAAUAAACACAUGCAAAGAUGACCCAAAAUAUUAUGUAAAAUACGAGCACACCAUCUUUUACUCUGUUUAGCAAUUUUCUACAACUUACAUUUGGAUGGAGGGAUUUCAAAUUAUGAGAUUUGACUUUGAUAAUGUGUAAUUCUUUGAUUGAUUAGUUUCAUUAAUCUAGCUUGGUUUCAUGAAUGUGGAUGAAAACCUUAUUUGAGUGGGAAUUUGAAAUACCUAUAAAGUGGUCAUUUCAAAUCCACUUCAAGUAAAAUUUUGAUGCACAUCCUUGGAUCUAAUUAAUUAAAAAAUUGGCUAACUUUCAUUCAAAAAAUUUAAACUAAAAGUCAUUUCUAAAUCUUUCAUGUGAAAUUCUUCCAUCCAAAUUUGGCAAUAAUGUAUCUGUUUCUAACUGAAAAUGCAGGUCCUCACAAGAUUCAAGGGAUU